RNAcentral lists this ribosomal RNA (261 nucleotides) under uncultured bacterium. RNAcentral's name for it is "partial 16S ribosomal RNA". It matches the Rfam family "Bacterial small subunit ribosomal RNA", at positions 793 to 1055 of the family's 1533-position model. The record is from RNAcentral.
GUCCACGCCCUAAACGAUGUCAACUGGUUGUUGGACGGCUUGCUGUUCAGUAACGAAGCUAACGCGUGAAGUUGACCGCCUGGGGAGUACGGCCGCAAGGUUGAAACUCAAAGGAAUUGACGGGACCCGCACAAGCGGUGGAUGAUGUGGUUUAAUUCGAUGCAACGCGAAACCUUACCUACCCUUGACAUGUCUGGAAUCCUGAAGAGAUUUGGGAGUGCUCGAAAGAGAACCAGAACACAGGUGCUGCAUGGCCGUCGU